RNAcentral lists this ribosomal RNA (253 nucleotides) under uncultured bacterium. Its description in RNAcentral is "partial 16S ribosomal RNA". It matches the Rfam family "Bacterial small subunit ribosomal RNA", at positions 524 to 776 of the family's 1533-position model. The record is from RNAcentral.
UACGUAGGGUGCAAGCGUUAAUCGGAAUUAUUGGGCGUAAAGCGCGCGUAGGCGGUUACUUAAGUCGGAUGUGAAAGCCCUCGGCUUAACUGAGGAAGUGCACCCGAAACUGAGUAGCUGGAGUACGAAAGAGGGUCGCGGAAUUCCCGGUGUAGAGGUGAAAUUCGUAGAUAUCGGGAGGAACACCGGUGGCGAAGGCGGCGACCUGGGUCGAGACUGACGCUGAGGCGCGAAAGCGUGGGGAGCAAACAGG